Molecule: long non-coding RNA, 1032 nt
Filed under: Anser cygnoides (Swan goose)
Lineage: Eukaryota; Metazoa; Chordata; Aves; Anseriformes; Anatidae
Description: lncRNA (ENSACDG00005011454.1)
Source: RNAcentral
NNNNNNNNNNNNNNNNCCCGGCGUGUGCAUCCCCCCCCGGGGGGGUGGGUGUGCAAAUGCGUGUGUGUGCGCGGUCCUGCAGCCCCAGCGGGCACACGCACACACACACACACGCACACACACACGCAUGCACGCCCUGAGCAGGCUGCAGCCCCUGGUGCAAUGCUCAAGCACACGCGUGCACACGCAGACACACCCGCAGAGGCUGCGGCGCCCCGCACGCACACGCGUGCACACGCAGUCCCGCAGGGAAUGCAGCAGCUGGUGCGCGUGUGCAAGUGCACAAACACCCACACAAAUGCGCGCAUGCGUGCACAAACACGUAUGUGUGCAUACGUAAGCACAUGCUCCUGCAGGGAAGGAUUGCACGCGUGCAAGUGCGCACACACGCACAAACACUGGCAGAGGCUGCAGCCCCAGCGUGCGCACACACCGUGCACACACACACAGCAUGCACACACGCACCGUGCACACACACACAUGCACGCAUGCUCAUGCAUGCACACGCUUGCUCACACGUGCACAGACACCCCUGCAGGAAGGGACUGCAGCCCCCUGCGUGCACACACAUACACACAUGGACCUGCACACACACACACUCCAUGCACAUGUGCACACCCUUGCUCACAUGCACACACGCAUCCCUGCAGGGAAGGUCUGCAGCCCUGCUGCGUGCACGUGCAUGCACACACAUGUGCACACAUGUACCUGCAUGCACAGACUGCACACACACACACGCACACCCCUGCAGGGAGGCACUGCAGCCCCCUGCAUGCACACACACGUGUACACACACGUACCUGCAUGCACACACACGUGCACACCCUUGCUCACACGCAUGCACACCCCUGCAGGGAGGCACUGCAGCCCCCUGCAUGCACACACACGUGUGCACACACGUACCUGCAUGCACACACACACACGUGCACACCCUUGCUCACACGCACACCCACCCCUGCAGGGAGGCACUGUAGCCCCCUGCCUGCACCCCCCGACACCGCCCCCCCCAUGCAGGCACUGCAGCCCCAGCAC